This 237-nucleotide long non-coding RNA is filed under the name Lathyrus oleraceus (garden pea). RNAcentral describes it as "Pisum sativum (pea) long non-coding RNA (PSAT_LNC011875)". Lineage: Eukaryota; Viridiplantae; Streptophyta; Magnoliopsida; Fabales; Fabaceae. The record is from RNAcentral.
CUAUAAUGAUGAAGUUGUGCCUGUUUUUCCCGAUAAUAUUCUAUGAGAACUUAAAGAAAAAAAUGAUCAACCCUAGAAAAACGAGGAAGUGAAAGAAAAGAAGAAGCAUAAAAGAUUGUGUUCUCUGGUGCGCCAGGAGAAUCUAGCUCUGCCAUGGCCAAGAAGGACACCACAGAGAAGCCUAAGAAGAAGGCCAGAAAAAGUAAGAACCUUAAAAAAGUGAAAACCAUUGGCGUG